RNAcentral lists this ribosomal RNA (492 nucleotides) under uncultured bacterium. RNAcentral describes it as "partial 16S ribosomal RNA". It matches the Rfam family "Bacterial small subunit ribosomal RNA", at positions 29 to 507 of the family's 1533-position model. The record is from RNAcentral.
AGUGAACGCUGGCGGUAGGCCUAACACAUGCAAGUCGAACGGCAGCACAGUAAGAGCUUGCCCUUACGGGUGGCGAGUGGCGGACGGGUGAGGAAUACAUCGGAAUCUACUUUUUCGUGGGGGAUAACGUAGGGAAACUUACGCUAAUACCGCAUACGACCUACGGGUGAAAGCAGGGGAUCUUCGGACCUUGCGCGAUUGAAUGAGCCGAUGUCGGAUUAGCUAGUUGGCGGGGUAAAGGCCCACCAAGGCGACGAUCCGUAGCUGGUCUGAGAGGAUGAUCAGCCACACUGGAACUGAGACACGGUCCAGACUCCUACGGGAGGCAGCAGUGGGGAAUAUUGGGCAAUGGGCGCAAGCCUGAUCCAGCCAUACCGCGUGGGUGAAGAAGGCCUUCGGGUUGUAAAGCCCUUUUGUUGGGAAAGAAGAGCAGCAGGUUAAUACCCCGCUGUUCUGACGGUACCCAAAGAAUAAGCACCGGCUAACUUCGUG